UACAUAGACCUCAAGCGUUAUCCGGAUUUACUGGGCGUAAAGGGCUCGUAGGCGGCCAACUAAGUCGGAUGUGAAAUCCCCAGGCUUAACCUGGGAAUUGCAUCCGAUACUGGAUGGCUUGAAUCCGGGAGAGGGAUGCGGAAUUCCAGGUGUAGCGGUGAAAUGCGUAGAUAUCUGGAGGAACACCGGUGGCGAAGGCGGCAUCCUGGACCGGCAUUGACGCUGAGGAGCGAAAGCCAGGGGAGCAAACGGG
RNAcentral lists this ribosomal RNA (253 nucleotides) under uncultured bacterium. RNAcentral's name for it is "partial 16S ribosomal RNA". It matches the Rfam family "Bacterial small subunit ribosomal RNA", at positions 524 to 776 of the family's 1533-position model. The record is from RNAcentral.